RNAcentral lists this long non-coding RNA (629 nucleotides) under Moschus moschiferus (Siberian musk deer). RNAcentral's name for it is "lncRNA (ENSMMSG00000022089.1)". The record is from RNAcentral. Lineage: Eukaryota; Metazoa; Chordata; Mammalia; Artiodactyla; Moschidae.
CACAGCUUCGUGACUGAACAACAACAAUAUUUGGAGGAACUCAGUAUAUCACAGAGGCUGAGGGUUUUCUUACAAUCUGGAGACCAGACAACUACUGCUGCUACUGUUAGCGUUGUUGCCUUCAAUACAACUGCCUCACCCAGAAACUGGAGCCCAGUGGAGGGUGGAAUUCUGCCAUUAGCGACACUUGCUUUUCAGCGGAAAUCAUCAUCUCCCAUCUCCUUUCCAGGUCCUAUGGACGUGCGUCUAAUUGGUGGAAGAUAUUCACAGUCAUACCCUGGCAGCAAGGGAAUUGCAAUUUUUCAGGUCUCAGGCCCCACGAAAUAGAAGAAGGGUUAUGAUGUGGCUUAAGAGAAUCAACCAAAAUAACUACCACUUUAGCCAAAAUACCAAUCAAGACUGAGGGGAAAAUAAACACAUUUUAAGACAAAGGAGGAGGUUUCUCAAUCGCAUUCACACAGAGUGAAUCACACAAUGUACUACAUGAAAAAGGAAACUGAAUACAGAUUCAAGAAGCAUGCGUGUGUGGCGGGGCGAGGAAUGAGAAACGGAGGUAUAUGAGGUUUGAAAACAUUAUAAAAUUAGCAGGAUUUUGAAGGUGUGCUAUGAGUAUAUGGCUAAACAAGUAG